This 460-nucleotide ribosomal RNA is filed under the name uncultured bacterium. RNAcentral describes it as "partial 16S ribosomal RNA". It matches the Rfam family "Bacterial small subunit ribosomal RNA", at positions 338 to 795 of the family's 1533-position model. The record is from RNAcentral.
CCUACGGGUGGCAGCAGUGAGGAAUAUUCGUCAAUGGACGAGAGUCUGACCCAGCCAAGUAGCGUGAAGGAUGACUGCCCUAUGGGUUGUAAACUUCUUUUAUAUGGGAAUAAAAUGUUGCACGUGUGGGAUUUUGUAUGUACCAUAUGAAUAAGGAUCGGCUAACUCCGUGCCAGCAGCCGCGGUAAUACGGAGGAUCCGAGCGUUAUCUGGAUUUAUUGGGUUUAAAGGGAGCGUAGGUGGAUUGUUAAGUCAGUUGUGAAAGUUGGCGGCUCAACCGUAAAAUUGCAGUUGAAACUGGAAGACUUGAGUGCAGUAGAGGAGAGUGGAAUUCGAGGUGUAGCGGUGAAAUGCGUAGAGAUAACGAAGAACUCCGAUUGCGAAGGCGAUUCACUGGACUGCAACUGACGCUGAGGCGCGAAAGUGUGGGUAUCAAACAGGAUUAGAUACCCGGGUAGUC